RNAcentral lists this ribosomal RNA (468 nucleotides) under uncultured bacterium. RNAcentral's name for it is "partial 16S ribosomal RNA". It matches the Rfam family "Bacterial small subunit ribosomal RNA", at positions 28 to 507 of the family's 1533-position model. The record is from RNAcentral.
GACGAACGCUGGCGGCGUGCUUAACACAUGCAAGUCGAACGGUGAUGCUCCAGCUUGCUGGAGUGGAUCAGUGGCGAACGGGUGAGUAACACGUGAGCAACCUGCCCCAGACUCUGGAAUAAGCGCUGGAAACGGCGUCUAAUACUGGAUACGAAACUGGCCCGCAUGGGCAUGGUUUGGAAAGUUUUUCGGUUUGGGAUGGGCUCGCGGCCUAUCAGCUUGUUGGUGAGGUAAUGGCUCACCAAGGCGACGACGGGUAGCCGGCCUGAGAGGGAGACCGGCCACACUGGGACUGAGACACGGCCCAGACUCAUACGGGAGGCAGCAGUGGGGAAUAUUGCACAAUGGGCGAAAGCCUGAUGCAGCGACGCCGCGUGAGGGAGGACGGCCUUCGGGUUGUAAACCUCUUUCAGCAGGGAAGAAGCGAAAGUGACGGUACCUGCAGAAGAAGCACCGGCUAACUACGUG